UGGGGAAUAUUGCACAAUGGAGGGAACUCUGAUGCAGCGACGCCGCGUGAACGAAGAAGGCUUUCGAGUCGUAAAGUUCUUCUAUAUGGGAAGAUAAUGACGGUACCAUAAGAAAAAGCCCCGGCUAACUACGUGCCAGCAGCCGCGGUAAUACGUAGGGGGCUAGCGUUGUCCGGAAUCACUGGGCGUAAAGGGUUCGCAGGCGGAAAUGCAAGUCAGGUGUAAAAGGCAGUAGCUUAACUACUGUAAGCAUUUGAAACUGCAUAUCUUGAGAAGAGUAGAGGUAAGUGGAAUUUUUAGUGUAGCGGUGAAAUGCGUAGAUAUUAAAAAGAAUACCGGUGGCGAAGGCGACUUACUGGGCUCAUUCUGACGCUGAGGAACGAAAGCGUGGGUAGCAAACAGG
RNAcentral lists this ribosomal RNA (403 nucleotides) under bacterium. Its description in RNAcentral is "partial 16S ribosomal RNA". It matches the Rfam family "Bacterial small subunit ribosomal RNA", at positions 355 to 776 of the family's 1533-position model. RNAcentral also lists the same sequence under 1 other name. The record is from RNAcentral.